AAACGUUCAAGUUUAAAGCGAUACUAGAUACCACAAUCAAAUUAGUACAAAUACAUAUAGUGUGGAAGCGUUCAUGCUUAACAAUACCCAUCCAUUAUCCAACCCGCACGUCGGGCGUUCAUAAUACAACUUAAAUUCCAAAAUAUACAUCACAUAUAUCCGAAUGAUACAUUAAACUUCCAAAAGUACAAUCAUAAAGGGGUCAAGCCAAAAUACACUUGAAACCCUAAAACAAAAUAUAUCCAAAAGGAGAUUUCUCCGCGUUAACUCCAUUUCCAUUCCUGUUAAGGAAAACAAAUCUACAGGGUGAGCAAAACGCUCGUGAGGCCAAGGACACACAUGCAAGCACGUAGUUCAAGUAACAAUCCCAAUUACAAGCUAAGCAAUAAUAUGUUUCAAUAAUUAACAAUUUACCGGAAAGUAAAGGGAAACAAUUCAAGGAUAUAGGAGCUCUUAGGAGCUAUAUUCCACUUGCACGAUCAAUAACCUCCACGAAUUGACACUCCGUCAAUCGGGUAGGUUUUGUCCGUAGAACUCCACUUAACCUGUCCCCUUUCACUUUACAUACCCCUGUAUCGGGCCCGCCUGUCAUUUGUUUGUGGCGACACUACUCGAGUAUGCCAAGCAAGAUCUCUCAUUAGGUCAAGCUUAUAUAUCUCAUGGCUCGCCAAGGUUCCCGACCAAACCCAUGCCGACUCGAGUCCAAGGUCGGCCAAUGAGAUGUGGGCGUCCCCAUGUGCAAUUGUGUGUCGAGGAGAUUCACUCCAACGACGUAUGCAGCCAUAGCAUACCAUAUCAUGUAUCAAGCAUUGAUAUGUACAAGCAAUCGAUGUAUCCAAGCAAUCGAUAUAUUCAAGCAAUUUGAGCAUGAGUUAAAUCAUUUCGAAUGAGAACGAGUGCGAUAAAGUACACACUCGACUCCAUUUCCCAAAAUCUCAAGUAUUAAUAACAAGUAAUCACGUAUCGAAUUCACAGGAGUUCAAGUAACACACACUUGACACUCACCAAGUAAAAUGAGAAGAAAAGGGCACUCGAAGUUUAAGCGUCCACCGUGGGAUCCUUUUGUGGGUCCUCGUGUGCGCCUGAGCAAAUAAUAGUAAAGCAUCACUCAUAUAUCCCAAUUGUCAAGGAAGAUUGUACACUAGUACAAUCUAAGGAAAUUUCAUGAAAUCGAACCUCAAUUACUCGGAAAUCGAGGUUCAAUUAGAGUUUCUUAAAGUACAAGAGCGAUCGAGUUUUCAUUUUGGAAAAUCAGGUGUAACAUGUUCAAGUAAUAUCGAAGGAAUAAGGAGUGCUUGAAAACUCCCUUCCUUUGGAAUUCGGAAAAUUUUCAGUUUUGAUACGAUAUUUUGAAAAAUCGUAUCUCACAUUCUACAUGUAAAAAAUUGGAAUACUUGGUACCGUUGGAAACCUCUUUGAAAGUACUAAGAGUUCUUAGAAGACACUUUUCCAUGAAUCUAAGUGGAAGAUAUUCAAAAAUGGGCUUAAAGUUGCUGUUCCAGAACACUCAGAAUUGAGCCGGGGUUGGUUUUUCGCUAACUUUGGAAAUUCGGCAAAAUUCACACGUUGCGAGCUAGCCUAUGAAAUUUGUAACUAAAUUAGAGUUUCAAGUAAGGUUUAUAACAGAAAAACCAAAUCAAGGAUCGGAGUUUCGAGCACCGAGAUACGGUAGCUCGAAGUUUGGGAAAAAUUCAAAACUGGUGAACAAAUUUGCGGAUUUGAGCUUCCAACUUUGGGACUUUAGUUAGGUAUCGAAAUGGACUUGGAUUGGUACAAAAUUCAGCAGUAUAAUACUCCUAUAUAAAGAGUAUCCCUCUAUCAAAUUUCAUGGAAAAAUACCUUCGGGAAGGUAGUCAAUCAAACACCCUAAGUUUCGAAAAUACUAAGACAAAACUGCCUUGAACCUUUUGUUUUCCAUUUCAAACAUUUGGUCAAGGAAAAAUUCCUCAAAAAUGGCUCAUUAGUGUAGGCAAAGCCUAAGGAAUAAUCAUGGUACAUUUGGUAAGUGUUUAGCACCAAAAUAUUCAGUUAGCAAGUCUAUACCAAGCCUUGCAUCAAAUCUGUCCAAAAGUCAGGGUUUUCAAGAGCAGGGCAGGUUCCGUAUUUUGAUCACAAAUCACCCAACUUAACUUAGCAUUGGGCAUGGUUUAUGGCGUUGGAAAACAAAUUCAUAGAUCUAUAAUUUCACAGAAGAAAUCAUUUUGAAAUUCGGCACACAACUAGCUCGAAUUCGAGCCACAAGUUGCAGCCUCAGCAUUUCGUUCCAGUAAAACAGAGAAACAGAACAGCCGACUUUAAAUGGUUGGUUUGGCUCAUAUACAUGGAACCAGAAUGUGCAUUUUAUACCGUCGGAAAGGUUGGAAUUUCUAAUUUCAAAUUCCACUACGGCACUCGAUUUCGACGUCGGAGCACAAAAUUAUGGCCGAAACACGAAAGCUGGUCAGAGCAUUACGGGAACAGUUCCAGAUUUACUAACUUUGUGAAAUCAAUUCAUUUGACCCACCAAACCUCAAUAUUUUUCAAUGAAAUUUUAUACACCAUCUAUACAACAUAUAAACAUCAUAUAUAAGUCAUUACAACCCCAAAAUUCCGCAGAAAUAGAUACGUUCAAAGCAGGGGCAGAAUUGGAACUUUUCCUCUCAUGCAUUUCUUGAAGUUCGUACUACUAAUACACCAUUAAUCUACCAUUUUGAGCACUAAACCAACAUUAAAUUCAUCAUCAAUCAUCACAUCAGCCAUCAAGACAAAGGGUGGGAGUUCAUAGAGCCCACCUUCCAAAUUUCCAACAAUAACAACCACCCAUAUGAAUAUCCAAGCUUAAAGGUGUUAAACAACCUCUAUAAACCAAGUUUAGAGUGUUGGAUCAUUACCUACUUUGGUUUGAUGUUCAAGCAGAAUUCGGCCCCCCCUUUACUCCAGCAAAACCGUGAUUUUCAGCUCCCCUUUGAAGCUCAAAUGAUCCUUAAGUGUUAAGCCACGUGUGGUUUAAGUUGGGUGUGAAUUGGAUGAAGAUUUGUGUAAGAUUUGGAGAUGGAAUUUGCAAAACUUGGAGUUGUUUUGUUGCAGCUGAUGUUUCGGCCAAAUG
Molecule: long non-coding RNA, 3085 nt
Filed under: Coffea arabica (coffee)
Lineage: Eukaryota; Viridiplantae; Streptophyta; Magnoliopsida; Gentianales; Rubiaceae
Description: long non-coding RNA (CARA_LNC007798)
Source: RNAcentral